AUGCAUGCACGGCGAUGCCGACGUGGGCGGUCAUGGCGUUCCUGCUCUCUGUCAUUGCGGCGGCGUCGCAGCUGCAGCCCGUGGCGCGCGCGGCGGCUCCAGGGACCCCAGGCGCCGGCGUUACGCUGCAGGAAGAUCAGCACCAGGUGCGCGCGCUACCAGCUGCUGAUGGUGGUGGACAACGGCAUUGUGCAGGUGGCAGUGUCCAAGCCGCAGGGCCAGAUCAUCGCCGUCCGUUAUGUCGACGACACUAACCUCCUCUACUUCAACAACGAUGAGAUAUCAGGCGGGUACUGGGAUGUAGUUUGGAACUUUCCAGGAUCGGGAUAUCCCAGGGGCAUGAACGACAUGUUGGAUGGUACCGAGUUCAGGGUGGUAUCUGCCACCGAGGAGCAAGUGGAGCUCUCUUUCAUGAGAACCUACGACCCAUCACGCCUCAACAGCAUCCCGCUCACCGUCGACAAGAGGCUGGUGAUGCUGAGAGGCGGCUCCGGGUUCUACUGCUACGCCAUCUUCGAGCACGCCGGCGGCUGGCCGGCCGUCGACGUCUCCGAGGCCCGGCUCGUCUUCAAGCUCGACCCCACGACGUUCAACUACAUGGCCGUCUCGGACGGGAUCCAGAGGUACAUGCCGGGGGCGGCGGACCGGGACGCGCCCCGGGCCGUGCCGCUCGCGUACAAGGAGGCCGUGCUGCUCGUGCACCCGUCGGAGCCGCAGUUUGCUGGGGAGGUGGACGACAAGUACCAGUACUCGAUGGACAACAAGGACAACCGCGUCCACGGAUGGAUCGCCGGUGCCGGUGGUGGUGGCGGCCCGGUGACCGUGGGGUUCUGGGUGGUCACCCCCAGCAACGAGUUCAAGAGCGGCGGCCCCCUCAAGCGCGAGCUCACCUCCCACAUCGGCCCCACCUCGUUGACUAUGUUCAUGGGGACUCAUUACAUCGGGAAGGAUAUGGUGGCGAAGAUCGAGGCCGGCGAGCACUGGAAGAAGGUCAUGGGGCCGGUGUUCAUCUACCUCAACUCCAACCCACAGCGGGGAGGCUUCCAGGCGCUGUGGGAGGACGCCAAGGCGCAGGCGGAGGUCGAGGCGAGCCAAUGGCCGUACAGCUUCCCGUUGUCGCCGGACUUCCACAGGGCAGGCGAGAGGGGCUCCGUCACCGGUCGGUUGCUGGUCAGAGACAGGUACACGACCGGCGGCGAGGACGUGCCCGCCCGGCUGGCCUAUGUCGGCCUCGCCGCUCCGGGGCAGCCCGGCUCCUGGGCGACGGAGAGCAAGGUACAUAGGCACGCAAAGAACCCACCGAAACUCGAUGAGAAAUUUUUGGAUAUGCUCAUCCUUGUUGCCGACUUGCCAUGGAUUCAGGGUUACCAGUUCUGGACGAGGGCGUCGGCGACCGGCGGCAGCUUCGCCAUCGGCAACGUCCGGGCAGGAGAGUACAACCUCUACGCCUGGGUCCCCGGGGUCCUCGGCGACUACAUGCGCACGGAUCCGGUAACGGUGGUGCCCGGCGUCGCCGUUGCCCUCGGCGACCUCGUGUUCGAGCCGCCGCGAUCGGGGCCGACGCUGUGGGACAUCGGCGUGCCAGACCGGAGCGCCGCCGAGUUCUUCGUCCCCGAUCCCAACCCCAGGUAUCUCAGCAAGCUCUUCGUCGCCAGGGACAAGUACAGGCAGUACGGGCUGUGGGAGCGGUACGCCGAGCUGUACCCCGCCGGCGACCCCGUCUUCACCAUCGGCGUGAGCAACCCCUUCAAGGACUGGUUCUUCGCGCAUGUCACAAGGAAGACGGGCAACGGCGAGAACGUGCCGACGACGCGGCGGAUCCGGUUCAACCUGCCCCGCGUCGCCGGCGGCGGCACCUACACGCUGCGCAUCGCGCUCGCGGCGGCGCACAUGUCCAAGCUGAAGGUGCAGGUGAACGGGGCGACGGGGAAGGGGCCGGCCGGGGGAGUGUUCUUGACGCCCGAGUUCGGGGACGACAACGCGAUCGCGAGGCACGGCGAGCACGGCAGGUGGUGGAGCUUCGAGUUCCCGAUUGACGGGCGGCUGCUGGUGCAAGGGGAGAACACCAUCGGCGUCACGCAGCCGAGGGCGUCCAGCGUGUUCGUGGGGGUCAUGUACGAUUACGUCCGGCUGGAAGGGCCGCCCGGUUGGGAUUCUGGCGUCACAAGUAGUGCUGGCCUAGGAAAAAUCUUGCCUCUCGGUUUGCUAUGUGGGCUUGUCGUGCUACCAACAUUGAUAUUUCUGCUAAGCAAGUGA
Molecule: ribosomal RNA, 2256 nt
Filed under: Triticum aestivum (bread wheat)
Lineage: Eukaryota; Viridiplantae; Streptophyta; Magnoliopsida; Poales; Poaceae
Description: partial small subunit ribosomal RNA
Source: RNAcentral